RNAcentral lists this small nuclear RNA (23 nucleotides) under Arabidopsis thaliana (thale cress). Its description in RNAcentral is "snRNA_17897". The record is from RNAcentral. Lineage: Eukaryota; Viridiplantae; Streptophyta; Magnoliopsida; Brassicales; Brassicaceae.
UGGGUUAACCCAUUUAACAACUC